GAUGAGCGCUGGCUACAGGCUUAACACAUGCAAGUCGAGGGGAAACGACGGGGAAGCUUGCUUCCCCGGGCGUCGACCGGCGCACGGGUGAGUAACGCGUAUCCAACCUGCCUCUGACUGAGGGAUAACCCGUCGAAAGUCGGCCUAAUACCUCAUGGCAUCGUCUGCGGGCAUCCAACGACGAUUAAAGAUUUCAUCGGUCAGGGAUGGGGAUGCGUCUGAUUAGCUUGUUGGCGGGGUAACGGCCCACCAAGGCUACGAUCAGUAGGGGUUCUGAGAGGAAGGUCCCCCACAUUGGAACUGAGACACGGUCCAAACUCCUACGGGAGGCAGCAGUGAGGAAUAGUGGUCAAUGGGCGGGAGCCUGAACCAGCCAAGUAGCGUGCAGGAUGACGGCCCUAUGGGUUGUAAACUGCUUUUAUGCGGGGAUAAAGUGAGGGACGUGUCCUUCAUUGCAGGUACCGCAUGAAUAAGAACCGGCUAAUUCCGUG
RNAcentral lists this ribosomal RNA (491 nucleotides) under uncultured bacterium. Its description in RNAcentral is "partial 16S ribosomal RNA". It matches the Rfam family "Bacterial small subunit ribosomal RNA", at positions 28 to 507 of the family's 1533-position model. The record is from RNAcentral.